This 98-nucleotide ribosomal RNA is filed under the name uncultured bacterium. RNAcentral's name for it is "partial 16S ribosomal RNA". The record is from RNAcentral.
CCUUGGUUGUAACUCCUGUCGGUUGGGAAGAAAUUGUUCGGGCUAAUACCUCCGGACAUUGACUGUACCAGCAAAGGAAGCCCCGGCUAACUCUGUGC